RNAcentral lists this ribosomal RNA (256 nucleotides) under uncultured bacterium. RNAcentral describes it as "partial 16S ribosomal RNA". It matches the Rfam family "Bacterial small subunit ribosomal RNA", at positions 85 to 339 of the family's 1533-position model. The record is from RNAcentral.
AGCGAGUAAAGUGGCAGACGGGUGAGUAAUGUAUGGGAAUCUGCCCAGUAGUAUGGAAUAAGCCUUGGAAACGAGGUCUAAUACCGUAUAUUACCGAUUUAUCGGGAAAGGUUCAGUCCUUCGGGAUUGCAUCGCUAUUGGAGGAGCCCAUAUCGGAUUAGUUAGUUGGUAGGGUAAUGGCCUACCAAGACGAGGAUCCGUAGCUGGUCUGAGAGGAUGAUCAGCCACACUGGAACUUAGACACGGUCCAGACUCC